UCUAAGAGAGAGGGGUCGUCGAACGUAGGAAGGGAGAUCUAGAGAGAGAGAAACGUAGACGGUGACGUUCAUAUGCGUUGUCUGCUGCUGCCUUUGUCGACGACUCGACGUCCUGACGCAGUCCUUCGUCUUAUCCAUUGUACCGGCCGGCCCUCCUGCUUUCCCUGCAUGGGGUCGUCAUCGUUCGGGCGUGCACAUGUCGUCGGGAGUUCUUGCUCCUUUUGGGCCUUUUACUAUCGAUCUUCCGGUGCACAGGGCUGCAAAUCUCGGUGGGGUAUACAUUAUGAAAACGAAAUUUUAACCGCUGGAUCAAAAGCCUUAAAUAGCUCAGCUGCUUAAAGCGUAAAAAUAAAAAAUCUUUUUAAUUUGAGUAGAAACAAGACGCGGCAGCACAUAUGCGGACAACCGCAUUCACACACACAAACUCACACACCGUGAGGCUUGUUUGACAGCUUAUUAGCUUAUAAUAACUAAUCUUGCAUGUAGAUUAUUGUUAUAUUCUGGGAUCUGUUUGUUUUAGCUUGCAUAUUAUUUAUGACGAUUGUUUAACCAUAUUUACAUCUUGCAAGGCCCAUUAUCUCUACCGACUCCUGCUGCAUAAACUCCCUCCAUCCCAAAUUACUAUUCGUUUUGACUUUUCUAGAUACACACCUUUCGACAUGCACUUACAUAUAAGUAUAUAUAUAUAUAGUAAAAGUGAUGUAUCUAGAAAACCUAAAAUGAAUAGUAAUUUUGGACGGAGGUAGUAUAUACUAGUGGUAAUGAGAUGAGUCCCAUUGAUAUGUGCAUCGUAUGCAAUUCCAUCAGAACUUAACCAACGUACCAUUGUUCCGUGAUUUUUGUUGAGGAUCGAAGCCUCUAGUAGUGUACGUAUCUCCCUCUCUACAGUGUCAUGUCAAGUAAUAAUUUCUUUAAAGCAGAUGAUAUAACAAACUCGCCAAAUUAAAAUAAGUUCUGGAUUCUUCUAAUAAGGUCCCCCAUUUGCUGACGUUGCAAUGUAAUUAGCAGGGAAUAUGCCUAGAGCUUUAAUUUACAGGACCAUGUGCUUCGGGGAUACCAUCCUGAAUAUCCGGAUGGCUUGUUUUUGUGUUGAGUAUCCUUCUCAGAUCAACACAUAUAUAGUACUUGUCUUUUGCAGUAUACAAUGAAGAUAACUCAUGGAUUGAUAUUGUUCGAUUGAAGUUAACCGUCAUCUUCUAGUAGUACAACUCACAAUGUAAACCAUAUUGUAGUAAUAUUCAUAUCCACACAUAUUCAUAAUUGUAAUAUUUGGCGACACAUCAUACUAGUAUUAUCAAACAAACCAUAUCGUAGCACUAAUACUAUGAACCUUAAGUUACAGAUCAGACUAAAUUUGUUUUACAUUCUCAUUGCAAAUCAUGAUAUAGUUCAUACGGUCCAACAACUUCCUCGAAACUUGGAGGUCUCGAAUUUGAUCCCCC
RNAcentral lists this long non-coding RNA (1442 nucleotides) under Setaria viridis. RNAcentral describes it as "long non-coding RNA (SVIR_LNC004743)". Lineage: Eukaryota; Viridiplantae; Streptophyta; Magnoliopsida; Poales; Poaceae. The record is from RNAcentral.